CAAAAGCUCACACUCAGUCCCAGGAUUAAGUUACUAAUCACUUGAUGUUGUCUUAAUUGAAAGGCAGAUUACCCAGACUAGUCCCUUCUGCCUUCUGGGCAGGUCACAUCUGAAAGAUUAUCCUCUUUGAAUCAGUUUGAAUGUUCUAGUGACCAGGCCACACAGUUUCUCUUGACAUUUAAAAAUAAAGCUUCCAGUCUUGUCACUAAUGGAUUUGGGGUCCAGUACCCUUAAAAUCACCUCAGAGCUGCCUGAAUCCAUAGACUACUUGCAGAAUCACUGGUUUUACUUGGAUCAAGCCAUCUGAGAAGAAAAAAGCAUUGGAAAUGGAGGAGACUGUCAAGGACAAUAAUAAAUGAUGUUUGGCUGAAAUAAAAACUCAAAGCCCCCACAAUAUUGAACCACCAUUCCAGACCCAGCCAAGGUUUGGAACAUAAAGUGAGCUGAAUGAAUCAGCCUGCAGGCAACCCAGAGAAAGUAAUUGUUCAUCCUAGCAGCACGGCUGCUUUUCUGCUUAGCAUCUGAACAAGUUAAUUUGGAAACACAGCCUUCUGGAAAGAAAUGGCGCUUCUCUCAGCAUCCCAUGGAUUCAUGAGCAGCUCCUUGAAUGCAAAUAUUGCCUGAUAUUUUCAUGGUGAGGGAGAAUGGGAGAAACAAGAAAUGAUUACAUUAUUGUGGAUACUUUUAUUCACCACAAUGGAAGUCUUUAAACAUAAAGUUGAUGUACAUUAAGAGGCAAGACCCAGGGCAUAUCAUCUAAAGAAGAUUCCUCCCACUUUUC
This 781-nucleotide long non-coding RNA is filed under the name Homo sapiens (human). Its description in RNAcentral is "non-protein coding lnc-ASCL1-6:8". Lineage: Eukaryota; Metazoa; Chordata; Mammalia; Primates; Hominidae. The record is from RNAcentral.